UACACUCCUACGGGAGGCAGCAGUGGGGAAUUUUGGACAAUGGGCGAAAGCCUGAUCCAGCAAUGCCGCGUGAGUGAAGAAGGCCUUCGGGUUGUAAAGCUCUUUUGUCAGGGAAGAAACGGUGAAAGCUAAUAUCUUUUGCUAAUGACGGUACCUGAAGAAUAAGCACCGGCUAACUACGUGCCAGCAGCCGCGGUAAUACGUAGGGUGCAAGCGUUAAUCGGAAUUACUGGGCGUAAAGCGUGCGCAGGCGGUUUUGUAAGUCUGAUGUGAAAUCCCCGGGCUCAACCUGGGAAUUGCAUUGGAGACUGCAAGGCUAGGAUCUGGCAGAGGGGGGUAGAAUUCCACGUGUAGCAGUGAAAUGCGUAGAUAUGUGGAGGAACACCGAUGGCGAAGGCAGCCCCCUGGGUCAAGAUUGACGCUCAUGCACGAAAGCGUGGGGAGCAAACAGGAUUACAUACCCGAGUAGUCCCA
Molecule: ribosomal RNA, 474 nt
Filed under: uncultured organism
Description: partial 16S ribosomal RNA
Rfam family: Bacterial small subunit ribosomal RNA
Source: RNAcentral